UACGUAGGUGGCAAGCGUUGUCCGGAUUUACUGGGCGUAAAGAGCGCGCAGGCGGUCGUUCAAGUCGCGUGUGAAAGCCCCCGGCUCAACUGGGGAGGGUCACGCGAUACUGAUCGACUCGAAGGCAGGAGAGGGUAGUGGAAUUCCCGGUGUAGUGGUGAAAUGCGUAGAUAUCGGGAGGAACACCAGUGGCGAAGGCGACUACCUGGCCUGUUUCUUGACGCUGAGGCGCGAAAAGCUAGGGGAGCAAACGGGG
RNAcentral lists this ribosomal RNA (256 nucleotides) under uncultured bacterium. RNAcentral's name for it is "partial 16S ribosomal RNA". It matches the Rfam family "Bacterial small subunit ribosomal RNA", at positions 524 to 777 of the family's 1533-position model. The record is from RNAcentral.